GUGUUCGCUUCAGCAGCAUAUAUACCAAAAUUGGAACAAUGCAGAGAAGAUUAACAUGGCCCCUGUGUGAGGAUGACAUGCAAAUUUGUGAAGCAUUCCAUAUUUUU
Molecule: small nuclear RNA, 107 nt
Organism: Diceros bicornis minor
Lineage: Eukaryota; Metazoa; Chordata; Mammalia; Perissodactyla; Rhinocerotidae
Source: RefSeq, a predicted model, not a curated record